AAUCAAGCGCGAGAAGGGCGUUUGGCGAAUGCCUUGGCAGUAAGAGGCGAUGAAAGACGUGAUACUCUGCGAUAAGUCAUGGGGAGCUGAGAAUAAGCUUUGAUCCAUGAAUUUCUGAAUGGGGCAACCCACCUGACAGUUUGCUUUAAUUAUCCUUGAUAACCUAAAGCGGGCUGAACCAGGUACUUUAGGACUGAAUACAUAGGUCUUAAAGAGCAAACCCGGGGAACUGAAACAUCUAAGUACCCGGAGGAAAGGAAAUCAACAGAUACUCCCCUAGUAGCGGCGAGCGAACGGGGACCAGCCGAGCCAUGAGAGUGAUUAGAACCAGUUGGAAAACUGGGCCAUAGCGGGUGACAGCCCCGUAUAAGAAGCUCAAUUGGACGUAUUAAGUAGGGCGGGACACGUGAAAUCCUGUCUGAACAUGGGGGGACCACCCUCUAAGGCUAAGUACUCCUUACUGACCGAUAGUGAACCAGUACCGUGAGGGAAAGGUGAAAAGCACCCCGACGAGGGGAGUGAAACAGUUUCUGAAACCGGACGCCUACAAACAGUCGGAGCUUGACUGGACUAUAAUACCAACUUGAAAUCAAAAUGCUUUCAUGAGCAUGUCCGUUGCGGAAGCAAAGGAAAGCAUGUUUAUGAACGGUAUCUUGGCAGUCUUGUUUACAAUCCUUGGUCCUACCAUGAUGUGGACCAACUAUUGCGAUACAGGAUGUUUGGCGCGUUCACCUGCCGACGGCGGCUGGACAGUAAGCGCUAGCAGCGUGAUCUUUGAGGGUGCUCAGAUCGGGAACGAGCUUUUCGUGCGUUACGAUCUAGACCAUAAACUCGGACCGUUUCAGCCUACAUUCGGGG
This 858-nucleotide ribosomal RNA is filed under the name Rhodothermales bacterium. Its description in RNAcentral is "partial 23S ribosomal RNA". The stretch from base 16 to 546 matches the Rfam family "Bacterial large subunit ribosomal RNA", at positions 15 to 565 of the family's 2925-position model. The record is from RNAcentral. Lineage: Bacteria; Pseudomonadati; Rhodothermota; Rhodothermia; Rhodothermales.